RNAcentral lists this microRNA (22 nucleotides) under Zea mays. RNAcentral's name for it is "zma-miR156e-3p". Its record names the gene zma-miR156e-3p. Lineage: Eukaryota; Viridiplantae; Streptophyta; Magnoliopsida; Poales; Poaceae. The record is from miRBase by way of RNAcentral.
GCUCACUGCUCUCUCUGUCAUC